UUAGAGGCAAACGGAUGGACCCGCAAUGGGUCGGCCCGGGGGAUUCAACCGGUCCGUGCGUUCGGGACGCGUGGGGGUUAUGCGGAGCUGUAAAGCCCGUGCCUUUGCGUGGGUCUCCGGGCGGACCGGUGCACUUUCCUCGGGUCGACGGCCACGACCGGCUCUCCGUGCGGCCACAAGCCUGUCGCUGGGAAGGUGACCGUCGGCCCCGCGCCGGCGGCGUUAUAGCCCAGCCAGUAUCGUUGAGCUCGUCGGAGGGCCGAGGAAGCUUGCCGUUUCUCAGCCACCCUCCGGCCAUCCUUGCUCGUCACGACCGGGGCGGACUGGUCGGUCAGUGCUCUCCCGACCGCGAGCGUAGGAAGGGCUGGUACGGUGCGAGAAUGCUUCGGGCCAGUGGCGAAUCGGUCGGUCCUCCAUCCGACCCGUCUUGAA
This 432-nucleotide ribosomal RNA is filed under the name Ensidens sagittarius. RNAcentral's name for it is "eukaryotic LSU rRNA". The record is from RNAcentral. Lineage: Eukaryota; Metazoa; Mollusca; Bivalvia; Unionida; Unionidae.